Long non-coding RNA from Vigna unguiculata (cowpea), 802 nucleotides. The record is from RefSeq and is a predicted model, not a curated record. NCBI's taxonomy places the organism in Eukaryota, Viridiplantae, Streptophyta, Magnoliopsida, Fabales, Fabaceae.
ACAAUAAUGAAUUUUUUUCUUUCAUAUGAAUGAAUUGCUCGAAGAAGACAACAAAUGUACAAUUUUUUCUUCUUUCAUACAAAGGUGGAAUCUUUUUAGAGGAAUGAAGGUUUGAAGAACACCAUAAAGGUACAAGCUUUUUAUCUUCCAACUUUUGUCAAAUAUUUUCUUCUUCUACUAGAUAUAAUUUCUUUUCUGGAAGAUGGAUGAUUUGUUUGAAGAAUACAACAAAGGUUGGCUUUUUUUAGUCAUGAAGGAAGGUUUUGUGUUAGAUCGAUGAUUUGUUUCAAGAAUACAACCAAGGUUUUCUUUCAUAUGAAUGACGUACAAGUUUCUAAAUGGAUGAAGUGUUUGAAGAAUAAAACAAAGAUGAAUCAACUGUUCAAAGAAUACAACAAAGGUUGGCUUUUUUUCUGUCAUGAAGGAAGGUUUUUGCUAGAUCGAUGAUCUAUUUCAAGAAUACAACCAAGGUUUUCUUUCAUAUGAAUGUUCUACAAGUUUCUAGAUGGAUGAAGUGUUUGAAGAAUAUAACAAAGGGGAGCUGUUUUUCAUCACGGAUAGGAGAAAUGGUUUUUGGAAUCUCCAUAAAUGGGUAAUUCUUUCACUUUUUAUGUCGAAGUCUAAAUCUUGUAGUGUCUAGUUUCUUAACUCUUUCUCCAACACAAUCUUUUGAAAACAUAUUAUGUAAUCAUUCUCUUAAUUGUGAUGUCCAUCGCCUUAAGGACAUGUUACACAUGGGUUCUUAGUUCUUAUGAUUUCACACAACACAAUUUUAUAGGCUUAUUGUGUUUGAAUAUUUCAG